This 535-nucleotide long non-coding RNA is filed under the name Olea europaea subsp. europaea. The record is from RNAcentral. Lineage: Eukaryota; Viridiplantae; Streptophyta; Magnoliopsida; Lamiales; Oleaceae.
AUUAAAAUAAAAAUCAUAUCCGUCUUAUUGCACCAUUGAUUGGAUUUUUUUUCGCCCCAUUCGGUUUGGUUAACCGCGAUUUUCGAUUUUGGCAGUUCAAAUUGCCAUCCUUAGUCUAAUGUCUACCCUACCAAGUGCAUUGAAGUGGAUUAAGAAAGAGGCUAGAGGAACGACAUGACAAAGCACAAUUAAGCAGAUCACUCUUGCUAGCACUGAUUAUCACUUAUAGAUGGUGCGCAAUAGGAGGAUUUUUGAGGAUUUAAAACCUAAUGCUGAAAGCAUCAUUCGAAGGAUCAAAAUACACGUAUACAAAAUCAUGUUCUCCUUGUAUCCGUAUGUUUUGAUUCAAUUUGAGUCUUUGGCAUUAGAAAGUUGAUUUUUGUAUUGUUCAUCACUUUAUGUUAGUUGUUUAGUAGUCUUCCUGGGUAUGCCCGGUGCACUUCUUGUUUGAUUUCAUUUUUGCUUACUUAGGGAUGUCCGUUGUACUUGUAAUUGCUUAGACUUUUGUUUACCCGGGUAUGUCUGGUGCAUUUGU